GACGUAGGGGGCAAGCGUUGUUCGGAAUUAUUGGGCGUAAAGCGCUCGUAGGCGGGAUUGGAAGUCCGUGUUGAAAGACCUCGGCUCAACUGAGGGACCGGCUCGGAUACUCUAAUUCUUGAGGCAAUCAGAGGAUGAUGGAAUUCCCGGUGUAGCGGUGAAAAUGCGUAGAUAUCGGGGAGGAACACCAGUGGCGAAGGCGAUCAUCUGGGGUUGUUCUGACGCUGAGGAGCGAAAAGCUAGGGGGAGCAAACGGG
This 257-nucleotide ribosomal RNA is filed under the name uncultured bacterium. Its description in RNAcentral is "partial 16S ribosomal RNA". It matches the Rfam family "Bacterial small subunit ribosomal RNA", at positions 524 to 776 of the family's 1533-position model. The record is from RNAcentral.